GGUUAAGAUAUUAAGGGCAAUUGGUGGAUGCCUUGGCGCCAAGAGGCGAAGAAGGACGUGGGAGGCUGCGAUAAGCCUCGGGGAGCCGUCAAACAGGCUUUGAUCCGGGGAUUUCCGAAUGGGGCAACCCACCUGAAGUAAUGUUCAGGUACCCCGCACUUACUUUAAACCAUAAGGGGCACAGCUUAUGCAUUAUGUCUAUCUUCUGGUUGGUGAUAACGGUGAAACAUAUGUAGGUUUUACGUCUAAUUUAAAGAGAAGAAUAGAAGAGCAUAAGAGUGGUCGUUCAAUAGCUACAAAGCACUGCAAAUGGCAGCUUGCAUAUUAUGAAGCUUAUGCAAGCAAACAAGAUGCGGUUAAAAGAGAGCAAAAGCUGAAGCAGGAUGGUCGUUCAAAACGAUGGUUGCUUGAGCGUGCCGAGUCAAGCAUGCAGGAACUUUGUGGUUUAAAGUAAGUGCGGGGAGCGAACCCGGGGAAGUGAAACAUCUCAGUACCCGGAGGAAAAGAAAUCAAGAGAGAUUCCCCAAGUAGCGGCGAGCGAACGGGGAUUAGCCCAAACCUCGUGUCUUCGGGCACGGGGGGUUGUAGGGCCUUCAACACGGUGAUUCGCGAUUAGAUAGCAGAACUACCUGGGAUAGGUAGGCCAUAGAAGGUGAAAGCCCUGUAUGCGAAAUCGAAAGCGACGCCAGAAGGUACCUGAGUACCACGGGGCACGUGGAACCCUGUGGGAAUCCGGGAGGACCAUCUUCCAAGGCUAAAUACUACUUGGCGACCGAUAGUGAACCAGUACCGUGAGGGAAAGGUGAAAAGAACCCCUGUUAGGGGAGUGAAACGAGAACCUGAAACCAAUUGCCUACAAGCAGUUCGAGCCCCGCACUUACUUUAUUUACGGAUUCUAAGGCCCCGCACUUACUUUAUUUACGGAUUAUUAGGCUACUAGCUGGUUCAUUGAAAUAUAAUUUCUUAUAAUCAGCUAUAAGCCAUAAAAUCCAUUCAUAAAGUAAGUGCGGGGUCCAAGAAUCCGUUGAUAAAGUAAGUGCGGGGUGAGAGCGUGCCUUUUGCAUAAUGGGCCAGCGAGUUAAUCUACAGUGCGAGGUUAAGCCGAAGAGGUGUAGCCGUAGCGAAAGCGAGUCUGAACAGGGCUAUUAGUACUGUGGAUUAGACCCGAAGCCGGGUGAGCUAUUCAUGGGCAGGGUGAAGCUUGGGUAAAACCAAGUGGAGGCCCGAACCAGUAGAGGUUGAAAACUCUUUGGAUGACCUGUGAAUAGGGGUGAAAGGCCAAUCAAACCCGGUGAUAGCUGGUUCUCCCCGAAAUAUAUUGAGGUAUAGCCUCGGGUGUUUACUUGCGGAGGUAGAGCACUGAAAGGGCUAGGGGCCCCACCAGGUUACCAAACCCUAUCAAACUCCGAAUGCCGUAAGUUGAAGCCCGGGAGUCAGACUGCGGGUGAGAAGGUCCGUGGUCGAGAGGGAAACAGCCCAGACCGUCGGCUAAGGUCCCUAAAUAUGUGCUAAGUGGGAAAGGAAGUGGAACUACUUUGACAGCCAGGAGGUUGGCUUAGAAGCAGCCAUCCUUUAAAGAAAGCGUAAUAGCUCACUGGUCUAGUGGUUCUGCGCCGAAAAUGUACCGGGGCUAAAGCACAUUACCGAAGCCACGGAGGUCAGAGGACAUAGUUCUCUGGUCUGGUAGGGGAGCGUUCUCUUCGGGACGAAGUUCAACCGAGAGGUUGGGUGGACUGUAGAGAAGUGAGUAUGCUGGCAUGAGUAACGAUAAAACGGGUGAGAAACCCGUUCGCCGUAAGCCUAAGGUUUCCUGGGUAAAGUUAAUCUGCCCAGGGUUAGUCGGCCCCUAAGACGAGGCUGAAAAGCGUAGUCGAUGGGAAACAGGUUAAUAUUCCUGUACCUGCUUGUUGAUCGUUUGAGUGAUGGGGUGACGCAGAAGGGUAGGUCAUCCGGGUGUUGGACGUCCCGGUUCAAGCCUGUAGGCUGAAGAUCCAGGCAAAUCCGGAUCUUCAUAAGGCCGAGAGGUGAUGACGAGUCUUAAUAGACGGAAGUGACUGAUCCCAUGCUGCCUAGAAAAACCUCUAAGCGAGAUCAACUGGCGGACCGUACCGUAAACCAACACAGGUAGGCGGGGAGAGUAUCCCAAGGCGCUUGAGAUAACUCUGGCUAAGGAACUCGGCAAAAUGACCCCGUAACUUCGGGAGAAGGGGUGCUCCUUUGGGUGAUUAAAUUUACUUUAUGAGCCUGGGGGAGUCGCAGCGAAAUGGCGGUGGCGACUGUUUACUAAAAACACAGGUCUCUGCGAAGUCGCAAGACGACGUAUAGGGACUGACGCCUGCCCGGUGCCGGAAGGUUAAGGGGAGAUGUUAUUUUACUUCGGUGGGAGAAGCAUUGAACCGAAGCCCCGGUAAACGGCGGCCGUAACUAUAACGGUCCUAAGGUAGCGAAAUUCCUUGUCGGGUAAGUUCCGACCUGCACGAAUGGCGUAACGAUCGCCGCACUGUCUCGGCCAGAGGCUCAGUGAAAUUGAAUUCUCGGUGAAGAUGCCGAGUACCCGCAGCAAGACGGAAAGACCCUGUGCACCUUUACUACAGCUUGACAUUGGACUUUGGGCUAUCAUGUGUAGGAUAGGUGGGAGGCUUUGAAGCGGUCACGCUAGUGAUCGUGGAGCCGCCCUUGAAAUACCACCCUUGGUAGUCUAGGGUUCUAAUCCCGACCUGUGAAGCCAGGCGGGAGACAUUGUCUGGCGGGUAGUUUGACUGGGGCGGUCGCCUCCCAAAUAGUAACGGAGGCGUGCAAAGGUUCCCUCAGGCUGAUUGGAAACCAGCCGUUGAGUGCAAAGGCAUAAGGGAGCUUGACUGUGAGAGAGACAUCUCGAGCAGGUACGAAAGUAGGCCUUAGUGAUCCGGUGGUUCUGAAUGGAAGGGCCAUCGCUCAUCGGAUAAAAGGUACGCCGGGGAUAACAGGCUGAUCGCGUCCAAGAGUUCACAUCGACGACGCGGUUUGGCACCUCGAUGUCGGCUCAUCACAUCCUGGGGCUGGAGCAGGUCCCAAGGGUAUGGCUGUUCGCCAUUUAAAGUGGUACGCGAGCUGGGUUUAAAACGUCGUGAGACAGUUUGGUCCCUAUCUGCUGUGGGCGCAGGAGACUUGCGAGGCUCUGUUCCUAGUACGAGAGGACCGGAAUGGACGAUCCUCUAGUGGACCUGUUGUCGCGCCAGCGGCACAGCAGGGUAGCUAUGAUCGGCAGGGAUAACCGCUGAAAGCAUCUAAGCGGGAAGCCUUCCUCAAGAUAAGGUCUCCCCUCUGACAUGUACGCAAGUACGUGUUGGACUAAAGGACCCUGGAAGACCACCAGGUAGAUAGGCCGGAAGUGUAAGCAUGGCAACAUGUUGAGCUGACCGGUACUAAUAGUCCGUGAGUCUUAACCUG
Molecule: ribosomal RNA, 3429 nt
Organism: Desulfonatronospira thiodismutans ASO3-1
Lineage: Bacteria; Pseudomonadati; Thermodesulfobacteriota; Desulfovibrionia; Desulfovibrionales; Desulfonatronovibrionaceae
Rfam family: Bacterial large subunit ribosomal RNA
Source: Rfam